GAUGAACGCUGGCGGCGUGCCUAAUACAUGCAAGUCGAACGAACAGACGAGGAGCUUGCUCCUUUCACGUUAGCGGCGGACGGGUGAGUAACACGUGGAUCACCUACUUAUAAUUCUGGGAUCAUCUCGGGAAACCGGCGCUAAUACCGGAUAAUAUAUUGAACCGCAUGGUUCAAUGGUGAAUGACGGCUUUGCUGGCUGUUCUCGAUGGAUCCGCGCUGCAUUAGCUAGUUGGUAAGUUAACGGCUUACCAAGGCAACGAUGCGUAGCCGACCGGAGAGAGUGAUCGGCCACCUGAGAACGGAGACACGGUCAAGACGACUACGGGAGGCCGCAGAAGGGAACGGUAGGCAAUGGGCGAAAGCCUGACGCAGCAGGGCCGAGUGUGAGAUAACGGCCUCGGGAGCGGAAUGCCCGGUUAUUAGUGAAGAACAGCUUUCGAAGGAGCUGUGGACGUCUUGACGGUACCGAGUCAGGAAGCACCGGCUAACUACGUG
Molecule: ribosomal RNA, 497 nt
Filed under: uncultured bacterium
Lineage: Bacteria
Description: partial 16S ribosomal RNA
Rfam family: Bacterial small subunit ribosomal RNA
Source: RNAcentral